AACGGAGGGGACGAGUGUUAUUCAUCAUGAUUGGGCGUAAAGGGUACGUGGGCGGUUUUCUAAGUGUAAAAGUAAAGGUCAAAAGCAGUUUUGGAAGCUUUUACAUACUGGAAAGCUAGAGUGCGGAAGAGGAUACAGGGAAUUACGGUGGAGGGGUAAAAUCCGUUGAUAUCAGUAAAUAUUACUAACUGGCGAAGGCGUGUAUCUGGUACGUUACUGACGCUGAGGUACGAAAGCGUGGGUAUCGAUCGGG
RNAcentral lists this ribosomal RNA (253 nucleotides) under uncultured bacterium. Its description in RNAcentral is "partial 16S ribosomal RNA". It matches the Rfam family "Bacterial small subunit ribosomal RNA", at positions 524 to 776 of the family's 1533-position model. The record is from RNAcentral.